Molecule: ribosomal RNA, 2903 nt
Filed under: Escherichia coli
Lineage: Bacteria; Pseudomonadati; Pseudomonadota; Gammaproteobacteria; Enterobacterales; Enterobacteriaceae
Description: bacterial LSU rRNA
Rfam family: Bacterial large subunit ribosomal RNA
Source: RNAcentral
UUAAGCGACUAAGCGUACACGGUGGAUGCCCUGGCAGUCAGAGGCGAUGAAGGACGUGCUAAUCUGCGAUAAGCGUCGGUGAGGUGAUAUGAACCGUUAUAACCGGCGAUUUCCGAAUGGGGAAACCCAGUGUGUUUCGACACACUAUCAUUAACUGAAUCCAUAGGUUAAUGAGGCGAACCGGGGGAACUGAAACAUCUAAGUACCCCGAGGAAAAGAAAUCAACCGAGAUUCCCCCAGUAGCGGCGAGCGAACGGGGAGGAGCCCAGAGCCUGAAUCAGUGUGUGUGUUAGUGGAAGCGUCUGGAAAGGCGCGCGAUACAGGGUGACAGCCCCGUACACAAAAAUGCACAUACUGUGAGCUCGAUGAGUAGGGCGGGACACGUGGUAUCCUGUCUGAAUAUGGGGGGACCAUCCUCCAAGGCUAAAUACUCCUGACUGACCGAUAGUGAACCAGUACCGUGAGGGAAAGGCGAAAAGAACCCCGGCGAGGGGAGUGAAAAAGAACCUGAAACCGUGUACGUACAAGCAGUGGGAGCCUCUUAAUGGGGUGACUGCGUACCUUUUGUAUAAUGGGUCAGCGACUUAUAUUCUGUAGCAAGGUUAACCGAAUAGGGGAGCCGAAGGGAAACCGAGUCUUAACUGGGCGUUAAGUUGCAGGGUAUAGACCCGAAACCCGGUGAUCUAGCCAUGGGCAGGUUGAAGGUUGGGUAACACUAACUGGAGGACCGAACCGACUAAUGUUGAAAAAUUAGCGGAUGACUUGUGGCUGGGGGUGAAAGGCCAAUCAAACCGGGAGAUAGCUGGUUCUCCCCGAAAGCUAUUUAGGUAGCGCCUCGUGAAUUCAUCUCCGGGGGUAGAGCACUGUUUCGGCAAGGGGGUCAUCCCGACUUACCAACCCGAUGCAAACUGCGAAUACCGGAGAAUGUUAUCACGGGAGACACACGGCGGGUGCUAACGUCCGUCGUGAAGAGGGAAACAACCCAGACCGCCAGCUAAGGUCCCAAAGUCAUGGUUAAGUGGGAAACGAUGUGGGAAGGCCCAGACAGCCAGGAUGUUGGCUUAGAAGCAGCCAUCAUUUAAAGAAAGCGUAAUAGCUCACUGGUCGAGUCGGCCUGCGCGGAAGAUGUAACGGGGCUAAACCAUGCACCGAAGCUGCGGCAGCGACGCUUAUGCGUUGUUGGGUAGGGGAGCGUUCUGUAAGCCUGUGAAGGUGGCCUGUGAGGGUUGCUGGAGGUAUCAGAAGUGCGAAUGCUGACAUAAGUAACGAUAAAGCGGGUGAAAAGCCCGCUCGCCGGAAGACCAAGGGUUCCUGUCCAACGUUAAUCGGGGCAGGGUGAGUCGACCCCUAAGGCGAGGCCGAAAGGCGUAGUCGAUGGGAAACAGGUUAAUAUUCCUGUACUUGGUGUUACUGCGAAGGGGGGACGGAGAAGGCUAUGUUGGCCGGGCGACGGUUGUCCCGGUUUAAGCGUGUAGGCUGGUUUUCCAGGCAAAUCCGGAAAACCAAGGCUGAGGCGUGAUGACGAGGCACUACGGUGCUGAAGCGACAAAUGCCCUGCUUCCAGGAAAAGCCUCUAAGCAUCAGGUAACAUCAAAUCGUACCCCAAACCGACACAGGUGGUCAGGUAGAGAAUACCAAGGCGCUUGAGAGAACUCGGGUGAAGGAACUAGGCAAAAUGGUGCCGUAACUUCGGGAGAAGGCACGCUGAUAUGUAGGUGAAGCGACUUGCUCGUGGAGCUGAAAUCAGUCGAAGAUACCAGCUGGCUGCAACUGUUUAUUAAAAACACAGCACUGUGCAAACACGAAAGUGGACGUAUACGGUGUGACGCCUGCCCGGUGCCGGAAGGUUAAUUGAUGGGGUUAGCGGCAACGCGAAGCUCUUGAUCGAAGCCCCGGUAAACGGCGGCCGUAACUAUAACGGUCCUAAGGUAGCGAAAUUCCUUGUCGGGUAAGUUCCGACCUGCACGAAUGGCGUAAUGAUGGCCAGGCUGUCUCCACCCGAGACUCAGUGAAAUUGAACUCGCUGUGAAGAUGCAGUGUACCCGCGGCAAGACGGAAAGACCCCGUGAACCUUUACUAUAGCUUGACACUGAACAUUGAGCCUUGAUGUGUAGGAUAGGUGGGAGGCUUUGAAGUGUGGACGCCAGUCUGCAUGGAGCCGACCUUGAAAUACCACCCUUUAAUGUUUGAUGUUCUAACGUUGGCCCGUAAUCCGGGUUGCGGACAGUGUCUGGUGGGUAGUUUGACUGGGGCGGUCUCCUCCUAAAGAGUAACGGAGGAGCACGAAGGUUGGCUAAUCCUGGUCGGACAUCAGGAGGUUAGUGCAAUGGCAUAAGCCAGCUUGACUGCGAGCGUGACGGCGCGAGCAGGUGCGAAAGCAGGUCAUAGUGAUCCGGUGGUUCUGAAUGGAAGGGCCAUCGCUCAACGGAUAAAAGGUACUCCGGGGAUAACAGGCUGAUACCGCCCAAGAGUUCAUAUCGACGGCGGUGUUUGGCACCUCGAUGUCGGCUCAUCACAUCCUGGGGCUGAAGUAGGUCCCAAGGGUAUGGCUGUUCGCCAUUUAAAGUGGUACGCGAGCUGGGUUUAGAACGUCGUGAGACAGUUCGGUCCCUAUCUGCCGUGGGCGCUGGAGAACUGAGGGGGGCUGCUCCUAGUACGAGAGGACCGGAGUGGACGCAUCACUGGUGUUCGGGUUGUCAUGCCAAUGGCACUGCCCGGUAGCUAAAUGCGGAAGAGAUAAGUGCUGAAAGCAUCUAAGCACGAAACUUGCCCCGAGAUGAGUUCUCCCUGAGACUUAGAGUCUCCUGAAGGAACGUUGAAGACGACGACGUUGAUAGGCCGGGUGUGUAAGCGCAGCGAUGCGUUGAGCUAACCGGUACUAAUGAACCGUGAGGCUUAACCUU